Molecule: long non-coding RNA, 495 nt
Filed under: Cyanistes caeruleus (blue tit)
Lineage: Eukaryota; Metazoa; Chordata; Aves; Passeriformes; Paridae
Description: lncRNA (ENSCCEG00000003406.1)
Source: RNAcentral
CUGAUUUGUGGUAACUCCAAAGUUUUGAAUGCCUCCCUAGCUGUAGCAGCAAUACUGGUUUCUAUCAAGGGAAGGUACUUGUAAAACCAUGUCUGGGGUUGGGGGAUGGAAGGAAGGCAGCAGGUACAGGACAGCUACUGCCUCCCAUACUCCAUCUUCCUCUCAGGGUAACCCCUGGCACGGCAACAGUGAAAUGGAGAAAGGUGAAAAUGCCCAGAAGCUGGCAGCUUCUGAAGAGAAACAAAGAGGCCAAGCAUCAGCCCACCCACAGCAGCAACAUCGGUAUUGCUAAGAAAGAGCUUGAUGACCUGGAGCAAUGGAAGAAAGAACACAGGCCAGGGCCAAUUAUGUUGGUGCCACAGAGACUGGGUAAGACAUGUAAAUCAGCAAUUGAGAAAUGCAGAAUUUAAUUUUCCAAGACAUGAGACAUUUUUCACUUUUUCUCACUACUUAUUAUAAAGAAAUUCAGUGUCAAUAAAGGCUGACAUGAGCCCA